CCCAGCCUCAGCUACUCUGUGAUUCUGUGUCGGCUAACGUCAAAGCUUGGCUAUCUUAAUCGGGAUUGAAAUGACUCUUGCCCUCCAGUCUGCAUAUUCUAAGUGAAGCUGUCCUGUGUGCCUCUGUAAUAGCUUUACCGAGGUGUAUUAACUCCAGAGGUGAAUGCUCUCUGUCUUGCCACAAUAGGCAAUUUGAAAUUGUCUCAAAGACUGAAAAAAGCCAGCAUACUAAAGUAGCCUUUAUUGAACUCCUUUCCCCUCAUGAAAGAUGCAUUUUAACAAAAUGAUAAUAUGCUAUGUAAUCUGGGAGAUCUAAUAGCUGAACAUAGGCAGCUUCUUAGAACGUGAUCCAAUUAAAACACUCCCCAAACCCCCACGUCCCCCUGCCAAAAACUUGCUGUGCUUUAAGCCUUUAUGGAUCACGUAACUGUUCGUCUUCGGUUGCAUCUUCUGUUCAUGCUUCUUGAACGCAUCAGCAAGAGAACUGAAGACUUCCUUGACUGAUGGAUUCAUCCAGGACAUCUCAGAGAUCUUCCCAUAGUACUCCGGGGAGAUCCAUUUAUCAGGUCCAAAGCAAAGCUUUGUUUUUCCCUCUCCCCUUGGACAAAAAGCUCUCACCAGGUGCCAGCGUUCGGAGCAGCGUUACAGCCUGCCUGUGUCCAGGACCCGGUGCUGCCACACUCCUGGCAGCUUUCGGUGAGUGACAAACUGCUGCCGCCCUCCUCUGCACAUGUGUGCAAUAUUAAUAACUGUUUUGUUGACCUUCGUGUUUUCUUUCAGUGUGUCCCAGUAGAACUGAAGCAAUGCACGCAAUUUUCCACGAGAAAUUACAGACGGGUGACUUAAUGGAGAAACCCACCCACUCCUUUGACUACCCUGGACAAAUAUUUCUAUAGCUGCUGCUGGAUUCAUGUGCACUAAUGAACUGAGAGCAGGUUUCCAGGAUGGGAGCCCAGUCCUGAAAUCUUUGGCAAGCCAGGGUUUCCCGCGGGGCAGCGCAUCUUGUUGUGCGACGAGGACUGCACAGAGGGAGUAGUCGGUGCAGCCUGAGCCCUCGCACCCCCCAGAUGUGUCCCCUUGCCAUGAGUCACUGCAGGCACCCUGGGAAUAGUUGCAUUAUGAGGAAAACUGACAGCAUGCUUUAUCUCCCAUACAGCUCUGAUCCAUCUUCCAUCCUCUGUCCUCCACUACUGCAGGAGCAGUGUUAUAUGCAGAG
This 1216-nucleotide long non-coding RNA is filed under the name Anser brachyrhynchus (Pink-footed goose). Its description in RNAcentral is "lncRNA (ENSABRG00000017159.1)". Lineage: Eukaryota; Metazoa; Chordata; Aves; Anseriformes; Anatidae. The record is from RNAcentral.